Cavia porcellus (domestic guinea pig) is the source of this 6096-nucleotide long non-coding RNA. RefSeq lists it as uncharacterized. The record is from RefSeq and is a predicted model, not a curated record. NCBI's taxonomy places the organism in Eukaryota, Metazoa, Chordata, Mammalia, Rodentia, Caviidae. The transcript is spliced from 5 exons.
CUGUGAUGCCACAGAUUCAGCAGCCCCCUGGGGAGUAGGCGAAUGCUUUUUGCAGUUUCCGCAGGGAGCCGGUCUGGAGGUGGAGACUACGUGGGUGUUGAUCUCAAGCUAGCAAACUUCAAAGUAGUGUCUGACAGCCCAGGGCUCUGCAGAAGAGACACGCCAUGACUGUUCCAUGAAUGAAUGAGUGGACGGAAGAGGACCGCCUGUGCGUGAAGUGCAAAACAGUCCUCAGGGCUGCGGAUGAAGGUGGGAAACGAAUGUCCACCUCAUGGAGAAUCUGAUACAGCAUGUUUCUUACUGGAAUACUCAGAUGCGUUUUGCCUGGAUCAGUGCUCAUCUGUCCUCCCCGCCCACCCGGUGCCUGACAGCCAGACCUGGGACAUCAUCUGGCCUGGAGCCGACAAUGAAGAAGGGGGAUGAGCCUCUCCUAAGGCCCAGCCUGCUAACUUCAGAACGGAUCAGGUGGGCCCCUGCCUUUGGGAUGGGCCACUGUAGGUAAUAUAGGAGUGACGUCAGCCCUCCAGAGGAUGCUGGGAAACUACCGACUCCAGCCUGCCGGAUGUCAGAGACGUGGAGUUCGAGCUUCCCAGAACCAGAGAAGGAACUCUGAGGGACCGUGGAGGAUCAUGUAGGCCUGAUCAUUUCCUCUGUAUCUUGAGGCCUGGCCUCCACUAGAUGCGCCUCUGGCCUCAGGUGUACCGUGUUUUCGGCUUCCGCUUGAUUCUCUCCAGGGCCCUGUCUGACUGCUUGUGAUAUUUCCAUCUAACUCAGCUGUCUGUAACAGAAGUAUCUGCCAAAGGGACCGAAUCACACCAUUCUUUUCUUGUUCUGGGUACUGGAGAGAACUUUUCCCCACAUCUCUCAGUCUUAGGAGUGACCAGCAUUGACCUCACCUCUGACCCCAAAGGGAAGGACAGACGCCUGUCCGCAAACUCCAAGGACACAGUGAUGGGCACAGCUGAGCGAGGGAGAUUGACAAGGUCUUCCUGAGUCCUGGAUCCAGCCAUACCUGAAGCCUCUAGACUCCUAAGAAUUAAUAAAUUCCCCUUGUUUGGUUUUGUGCUUGCCCAGUUUUGGAUUGAGUUUCUGCUGCUUGCAACCAAACAGAACUGGCUACUUCAUUCCAUUUGGAAUCCCUCAGGGGUAAAGGAAUCACCAAAUUCCUCUGCCCCUCCUCAAAAAACACACAAGAGCUCAUCCAGUCCUCCAGUGCAGCUCCACAUACCUGUGGGUGCCAGUGCCCUGCUCUUUUAUAAAAGUCCACAGGCUUAGUAAAGUUUCCCGGGGACAGGAGUCUGCAUCCUCCGCCCAUAGCUGGUCUGAGAACACUCCAGAUCCUAAAGAGGCAACAUACGUCUGUAGGUGGCUUGGGAAACAGUCUUCUGCCUGAAGGAGGAAAAAAUCCACCAACAAAACCAAAAUCCUAAUAUUAGAUUUCAUAGGCUACCAAGUAAACUUUCUCUCUUAUAGAACAAAUUGUUUCUAUAGAAACCAAUGCCUUUCUAGCAGCUCAAUUCCUAUCAGAGUCUCCGUGGGAAGAGAUUGGGGAAAUUAGGGAAGCAUAGAAAAAGGCAAAUGCCUGCUGGGGGUCUCCCCACGCCUCCACCCCAGACCCACAGAGGGCAAACGCCACUCUCCUCCCAGAGCCCCAGCACCCGGGGUGACUCUGGCAGCCCUGGGGGAUGCAGUUCCAGCCAGGUCGCCUCUGGUCACCCAAGCAACACAUUCCUCAAGUUACUGGAGCCUAAUUCAGGGUGGCAACUUUUACUCUGAGUCACCUUCUGGGGGUCGGGGGCUCCCCAGGGCCAGAGUGGGCGGAAGUGUACGCAAACCCCCAUGCUAAGUGCUGGCCACCUUGCCUGUGCUUGGACAUCCGGAGAAAACCCUUUCACCUGGAGAAACCCAAGCGCACACGUUGCAAGAAGACUCCAUGAGGCUGCCCAGCUGUCAGGGAGCCCCGCUAGUGAAUACUCUGAAUACUCUCCUCUCUCUCCCCAAGAGUGGGCGGCGGGAUGCCCAGUUGCGGUCACUCUCUUUCUCCAAUGCUCUGUGUCUGGAAUCUUCUGCCUGGAGUCUGACGUCUGCCUGGAGAAGGGCGGAAUCCCCACCAGCUCUCACCAAGGAUGCAGCCCCGGCCGGGUGGACAGAGAGGGAAGCCAGGAAGCUGAGGUCGCAGUCAUCGAAACAAGAACCUGACAGCCCAAGCGGCCACGGCCUUGCUGCGAGCUGAGGACGACAUGCCCAUCCGUGGAGUGGGGUGACAGGAGGUGUGAAUGGGGAGCCCCACUCCACAGGAGCCUCACCAUCCCGCAGGGGCCAGAGGAUCCAGCGGUCCAGGGAAACUGAGUGUGUGGGAGGCGGCGGGGGCAUGGACUGCACUGGAGGGGUUCGACUCUGUCUCAGCCUUGGGGCUGCACCCCUGUGUGCCCCCUGGGCCUCCUCCAGCCACGGGUGUGCUGAGGCGGGGUCCCCUGUGGGGCUGCAGCCCCCGACCCCCACUCCCGUGGGGUUGGACGGUGUAGAAGCCAAUGGAGAAGGCUCAGGACAAGCAGGAGGAGCUCGUGAGAUGUCGGGCUGCUCCCCUUCACCUCCUCCCGCACCUCCGAGGGGGUCGAGCCCUCACCCCACCCCGCCCCCUGAGAGGCAGGAGCCUCCUCCCCAGCUCCCUGCUUCCGCUCACAGACCACAGCCAGCAAAUCUUCCGUGCACAGCUAGAGGGGCCUGUUGGAUUGUUUUGUUUUGUUUUUUGAGACAGGAUCUUGCUGUGUAGCUCAGGCUGGCUUCUAACUGAGAGAGAUCCUCUUGUCUCAGCCUCGCAAGUGCUGGGAUUAUUGGCAUGCACCACCACACCUGGCUCUGAGGAGUGUUUUUUCCCCCAGAGGAAUGUUUUUGAAGCACGAGUCAAAUCAUGCCACUUUGUCAUACUUUUCCUAUGGCUCCCAGGUCCUUCAGAAUAAAAGUUGGAGGUCUAAUAGUGACCUACAAGGUCCUCAGUGACCUGCCCCCACCCUGCCACCAGCUGCUGGCCACACUGCUCCCUUGAUGUUCUUCAGGCACUUUAGGCACGUGCCUGCCACAGGGCUUUUGCAUCACCCACCCUGUGGAUGCUCAAAUGGCCAGCUCCAAGGCCAUCCUGCAGCUGUGCUCCCUAGGACAGGAUCCUUGUGCCACCUUCCUUUGGCUACUCAGUAUAAACUGCCAGCACCCACUCCCAGGACUUAGCCUUCCUCCCCCACUAGGAGACAAACUCCAGGACAGCAGGGAGUGUUUCCCAAAGGAGCACUGAGCACAGAGCAGACUGUCCACAACCUGUGAGGGAAGACAGAGAGAUAGGGUGAGCCGGGAGCAGGGGUGGGGCACAAGCUCCAACCCCAGGCUCCAGGCUCAGGUACACACAGCACCUCCUGUGUGGGCGCCCGCCAUGGGGCAGGCGGAAGGUGCUGAGGUCCUGGUGAACCAGGUGGACGUAGACUUUUAUAUAGAAGAGCAAAGGACAGAGACAAGACAUUUCGUGUCCCCUUUUAGCUAAGCUGUGGCUUUGUGGCCAAAUUCAGUGUUGUACAGGAACUAUCAGAAUGAAUCUUAAAGAAGGGGCUGGAGCUGGGAAAUGGGCUCAUUUUGCUCUUUGCCCUUUCUUCCUUUCUGAUCUCUGGAAUACAGACCUAAUGGCUAAUGCUCCAGCAGUUAUUUUGGGCCAUGAGGCAAACUUGUAGGAGGUGGUGGUGGAACAGAAGCUCCAGCUACUUGAAGACCUGGAACUUGUUAGUACUGGUUAGUACCAGACUGGCUACUUCUGGAACUUUUAGAGGAGAGAAAAUACAGUGCCAUUUGAUACACAACAGGGCUGUGUCAGGACUUUCAUAGAUCUUGGGCAUUUUUGCCUUCACGAAUGCCUUCAUCUGUGGGAGAAAAAACAUUUAACAUUACAUUGUUAUGGCUGUAUUAGCAUAAAGGCUAAAACACUCCAAGCUGGAUUUGUUAUGUAUUGGCUAUUAUUGCAUUCAUGACUUGCCUUCUGAUUCUAAAAGAAACUAAAAUGUUUUCCACUUUUGUGAGCCUUUGUAGUGUCACAGGGCCCAGGCUUUGGCUUCCUCCUGGUUUUGGAGAAGCCGAGAGCCAUGCACAGGUCCCGAAACACCCCACCCUGCCUGCGUUCAGGAGGUGGAAAUCAAGGCCGAACACACUAAGUAAUGCCUAGACUUGGAGCUUGGUCUAGCUCAACCAUAAGGACUAAAUUCUUAACUUCUUAGCUAGAAAAGGAGCUAUUUUUAGCACAGGAAGGUGAUUCUUGGUAGGCUCUUAUUAUCAUUUUUAUUAAUGCAAACAGCUGCGUGCCAAAGAAAAAUAAUAUUGAUGGAUGUAGCAACCGACCAGAUCAGCAAGCAGGCCUCCGGCCAGCACCUUUGCAAUGAUGAGCCCGUCUCGUCUCGGCAGGAAAGGUUUUAAAUCCCCAUCUUUUUCAGGGCUGGAUUUACGUGUCCAAUACCACAAAGAAAACAACUCCACUUAGUUUGACAAACUCCACGAUGCAAAGUAAAUUAUUCUUCUGGAUGUGAUCCUAAAAAUAGCAGGGACCCGCUCUCUUUAGAGACAGCAGCAGUGACUCUGAGUGUGCUGUUUUAAGGGCACGAGUGUGUUUUGAAACACAGAGACUCUUCUGUGGUCUCGGGAAGGGGAAAAAAUUGAUUUUCCAGAUCGCAUGAUAAAUCAUGGGACAAACAACAUCAGAGCCGAAGCAGAGCCACUCCGAGCAGAAGCGCCCUCAGGGUGCGGGUCCGCCUCGCAGCCUCCUCCUGCCUCCUCUGCAAGGGCCAGCCGGUCUUUCCCCAGCUCGGCACUGUGUUUUUAUUUCCUUUUGUGACCUCUCACCACAAAUUAAAAGACAAGGACACGUUGGUGAAACAAAGAUGCCAGAAUUACUUCUGGCCUGUGGACCCUGCCUGGCAGGGGAGGGUUAAGCAUUUGGUUCCCCUGGAGAGUAGGAGAGGUGGCCUCCUGAUGAAAGCCACGGAUGCACAGAGGAAUCUGACUGCUCCAUACCUUCCCAGAAUGGAGGUUAAAAAUGAGGGUGCCAGGAUCAGGCACCCCAAGAUCAAAUCCUGCCCUCAUCCCUUCCCAGAAGAAAGAGUUGGGCAAGCAAAUGAAUGCAAGCCUCAGUUUUCUCAUCUGUAAAGUGGCCACAAUAAGAGUACCUUUCUCUUAGAGUUGAUGGGGAGAAUCAAUAAGAAAUGCACUUGAAGCCUUUAGCACACAGUAAAUGUGCACUUGAGGUUCCCUGUAGACUACACUCAAAACGGGGAGAGGAAAGAGAAGAGUUUCUUAAUUUGGGGGGACUUGUGGGGGUGAGAAUGUUCUGCUUCCUAGGACUGGCCUCAGCUCCCCAGCUGUGUUCACCCUGUGAAAAGUCAUAAGCUGGCCAAGUCUGACUUUCUCACUUCAUGAUGUCUUUAAGUAAGAAGUUCACUCCAACGACAGCAGAAUCCCCGGUACAAAGCUGGAAUUGUUGGAUCGCAGCCAAGGAACCCCCUCGGGGGCCUCCAUGUAGUCCCUGUUCCACACUCUGUCCUGGCAUUACAGGCUGCUGAGCUAGUUAGAAAUAUUACAAGCAGGCAGACAAGGCUGGGCCCUCAAAGGAGCCAGAGCAGAAGUGCAGACACCUUGAAGCCUUGGAAGAGACAAUCACCUCCCACUGCGGGCCAGAUCUCAAGACAAAAGGCAAAGCGAAUACACCCACAUCCUAAGGAUCCACAGUCCAGAUAGUUCUCUGUCACCCUGAGGAAGCCAGGAGUCGGCAUCCCAGCGUCUACAGGAAGUCACUGCUCUAAGCACGCGGCUAUGUGACUCACGCCCCCAUUUGUCCCCUAUUUAAUCAGUUUUACCUGGCAGUUAAUCUUACUGGUUAAUCAUAGUUCUGUCUGGUCUUAUGCCCACCUCGUGAAUGCCCCUGUUUUCCCCAUCUUGGACCCAUCUCACCCGUGGUUUAACUCUACAAAAGUCCCUAGAAAAGACAGAGUGUUUGGCAACCCACUCGGGACCCCUUCUACCUCUCAGACAGAAGCUUUCUUUCUCUCAAUAAAUACAUUCUGCUCUUAA